CCACUGGGGAUCGAGCCCGCAACCCGGCCUGUGCCCUGACCAGGCAUCGAACCGUGACUCCUGGUUCCUAGGUCGACUCUCAGCCACUGAGCCACGCCGGCUGGGCAUGCCUGGUCUGUCUUAAAGGCCCCAGGCAUCGCUGACCACGAGGCCAGAAACAGUCUCCCCUGGGCACCCGACUAAGCCAGGUCUGGGCCAUCGAGCUGGGCCGACUUGGUCCAGGGCGGGGCAAGCUGAACAGAUGUGGCCACAGCCACUGUUGCCUCAGAACACAGGGUCCUUUGCUAAGUAAUUGGCCAAUUAACUGCAAGAUCAGAAGUCUUUGUUGAAACGCGUUUCCAUCACUGCUUCAAACACCCGCCGUCUCUGCAAACACGAUUAUGUACAGCCUGGAACCAUGUGGCCGGGCGGGAAGGACCCUGGUCCUGCGGUUUCUCCAUCAUGGAGGCUCCUCGCGUGGCUGAGGCUGCUGCUCCCCUUUUGUCGCCAGAGAAUCACCAGCGAUUACACUUGAACCUGCUUGGUCUAAGGCAGCGGUCGCCAACCCUUCGGACCUCACGGGUCACCGACCCUGGAACAGCGGUCAGAUUUUGAAGCUACGGAUGUUCAGGAUUCCAGGAACAAAGCUGUCCAAAACCAGCAUGGCGCCCAGGGUUCCUGUGAACUGGACGACGACCGGACGGCACUGCACACCGUUACGGGGAGCAGAGGGAGCGCGGCCGGUGCAUCUGACUCGUAACCGCCCGCAGAGCUGCCCCCCGCGGGGUUGGCUGCAGAGGCGCACCCCCGGGGAGCCCCUGGCCCAGCGAGACGGCCGGUCAGGGCAGAAGCAGAAGGCUGGCCAGGCCUUGGAGGGUUGACUGGCUCCAGGUUUCAACACGAGGGGCCCGUGUCCCCCUCAGAACGCUCCCCUCCAGUGGGUGCCCUUUGGCCCCGCCCCACACUGGCGGCUGCCUCUGCUCUCGGCCCCUCCAGUCCCUGGAAGGGGGUUGAGAAAGCGGGUCCCAGGGAGGCGGGCGUUGCACUGGCUCCAGACGACUGGAUUCCUAGACGCCGUGCCCUCCGCGCACUCGGCUCUCCCUCCUCACACGCCGGGCCCAGGCUCUGGUGGGCUCGGGGGAGUGGCUGCCAGCUCACCGCCCCGGCAGCUGGCCUCCUGGCACGGCCGUGCCUGUGAGUGGAGGGCCUGGCAGAGCAGGAAGUGCCAGGAUAGAGAGCGGGAGGCGGGCGCCACGCCAGGGCACCAGGCCAAACCCCGUGGUGAGGGGUUCCUCCACCAUCUGCCCCGGCAAACAGCAGAAGCGUCUUAUCCGAGAGCAUUUGUUUCCAACAUCCUGCGGUUUUCACGGACACAAUUUCCACGAUGGACACUGGAAAGCCGCCUCUCCUCUGAGUGGCUUCCCAUGACGGCCAUGCCCUGUGGGGCUUGGGCUGGAGCAGAGCUGGGCUCCCGUCUCGCUGAGCCCUCUCGCUCUGACCACAGGAAACCAGUCCACAAGUGCAGGUGGUUCCCCAAGUCCCCGGGCGAGAGGAGCCACGGUGAGAACUGACUGCACGGAGCACGCGCUUAAGCAAUCCAUGCAGACAGGCAGGAUGUGAGGGCACAGAGCAGGGCCAGCUCCGCGCGCGUUAAAACAGGACCAAGGCCCAGAACACAACCACCUACAGUCUCUUCCUGUCUGCUUCCCGCCGCCUGCGAGGCCUUUGACCCUGUGCACCCCUCGGAGAGCACCCCUCAGAGCGCCGUUCAUUCUGCCGGAUGUCACGCUGCUGGGUCCCUGAACAGCUGCACGAAGCCAACAAGGUCUAACGUUCGUCACAGCGAGGCUGCGGGGCGAGCAGGUCUAGUUUGGGGCUCAGCUCCCUGUGGACUCAGCAUGUGCCCCCGGGCUGUCCGCAGACCCACACACCCCAGGUUCCUGACCCUCAGCCCCAGGACAGGAGCUGGGGCGGACAGUAGGGACCCGCCCGUCCUGGCUUGAAGGGCGCGCUGGUCCUGGUCACCGGGGCCGGGGACUUCCAUGCCUGUGGUACGUAAGGGGACCAGGGGACCUGGCGCCUCUUACUGCCGGUCCCCUGUACGUUCUGUGGGGCUCGAGGAUGGCUUUCCUGCGGCUCCACCUGCUCUCACAGCCCUGAGUGGCUUUCCCAGUUCCCGGCCCUCCUCCCCCCCAAGCACCACGGCAGUGAUGGGGCUGUGUGGCCUGGAGGCAGCGUGGUGGCCCCGUCCCUGCAGCGGACGCUGGCUUAGGGUGGGCGUGGGGAGGGGUGUGAGCAAGAGACACAUCGGGAAGAGACUGGGAGCCAGGGGGAUGCGGCCAGCAGCGCCUCGGGCCGGGGGCGAGCUUGCGCAGGGACACCCACCACGAUGCCGCCCGGAAGAGACCGACAUCCGCCCCGCGGACUCUGAGUCGUCGUGCCUGCGGCCACACCUGCCGCCUCUCCUGGGGCUGCAUCAUGCGGUCUAGGCCAGGCCUGUGCUGCCAGGUGCGUGCUCCCACGCGAACAGCAGUGCAGCCAGGCCUGUGCAGCCAGGUGAGUGCUCCCACGCGAACAGCAGUGCAGCCAGGCCUGUGCGGCCAGGUGAGUGCUCCCACGCGAACAGCAGUGCAGCCAGGCCUGUGCGGCCAGGUGAGUGCUCCCACGCGAACAGCAGUGCAGCCAGGCCUGUGCGGCCAGGUGAGUGCUCCCACGCGAACAGCAGUGCAGCCAGGCCUGUGCGGCCAGGUGAGUGCUCCCACGCGAACAGCAGUGCAGCCCGGCCUGUGCGGCCAGGUGAGUGCUCCCACGCGAACAGCAGUGCAGCCCGGCCUGUGCGGCCAGGUGAGUGCUCCCACGCGAACAGCAGUGCAGCCAGGCCAGGUGGCCGUGACGAGGGAGGGCGUGCAGCGAGGGGCGUGGGGUACGGCCCAGCACGUGUCAGACACGCCAGCGGCCCUCCCUGCGCUGCUGCAGGAGGACGGACGGGGAGGGACAUGCCCCGCCGCCUCAGCCCGCCCUCAGGCCUAAGCGCUUAAUCAUUUCUCGUGCAUCCUUAGAGCAACUUUUACAAAAUAACACACUACACACUUUUCCAGCUCCGAGAGAUGUCCUCCUGGAAAUGCUGGUGCCGAGAGCCACCGCCAACACCGACGGAAACACCUCCCGCCAGGAGUCCGCUCCCCGGAUCACCUUCCCAGGCUUGGAACUGCCUUCUGCGGGAGCCCCUGGCCUUUCAGAGCCUCUCGGCCAGCGGUUCUCAACCUGUGGGUCGCGAUCCCUUUGGGGGUCGAACGACCCUUUCACAGGGGUCGCCUAAGACCAUUGGAAAA
Long non-coding RNA from Myotis myotis, 3311 nucleotides. RefSeq lists it as uncharacterized. The transcript has 3 exons. The record is from RefSeq and is a predicted model, not a curated record. NCBI's taxonomy places the organism in Eukaryota, Metazoa, Chordata, Mammalia, Chiroptera, Vespertilionidae.